AUGGAUCUGGAAGCGAAAUCAAAGAUGUUGGAUGUAAAAUCCAAGAUGAUUGACGCGAGAUGCAAGAAGAUUGAAGCAAGAUCAGCAGAGUUUGACGUGAGAUCCAAGCAACUUGAUGCCAGACACUUGCAGUUUGAGGCAAGAUCUAUGGAGCUAGAAGUGAAAUCCAGGAGGCUUGAAACGAGAUCAAAGGAGCUUAAAGCUCUACAUGCGCAAAAUGAGUGUGAGAGGAUGCACCUUGCGCAAUACAAGAAAAAGUUACAUCGUAAGAUGCACACAGUUGAGUCUUUUAACCAGGCUUUAGUAACCCAGCAAAGAAAAGGAAAUGAUGAGUUGGAGUGUCUAAGGGAGCGAGUAGCACAGUUACAGAAUGAACUGGAAGCAAUGGAGUCGCUCAAUCGUGUUCUACUAACCAAGGAAGUAGGCAGCAACAAUGAGUUGCAAGUUGCGCGGAAAAGGCUGAAAGAUGGGCUGCAGAAGUUUACAAAUGGACGGGCGAAUAUAGGGGUCAAGAGAAUGGGCGAGCUUGACAUGAAAGCAUUUGCGAAUGCUUGCAAACAAGAUUUAUCACAAGAAGAUGCCCAAGUUGAUUCUGUUUUUCUUUGUUCAAAGUGGCAAGCUGAAAUUACAAACUCAGAGUGGCACCCUUUUAAGAUCGUCAUGGUUGAUGGUAAAGAGAUGGAAAUUCUCUUAGAGGAUGAUGACAAGCUGCGGAAGUUGAAGGAAGAACAUGGUGAAGAAAUAUGCACUUUGGUAACGAAUGCACUGCUUGAAAUCAAUGAGUACAACCCCAGUGGCCGUUAUGUUGUACCAGAACUGUGGAACUAUAAGGAUGGCCGGAAAGCAACGCUGGAAGAAGGCAUCGAGUUCAUCGUGAAACAGUGGCAAUCACAUAAGAAGCGCUGA
This 906-nucleotide ribosomal RNA is filed under the name Triticum aestivum (bread wheat). RNAcentral's name for it is "partial small subunit ribosomal RNA". Lineage: Eukaryota; Viridiplantae; Streptophyta; Magnoliopsida; Poales; Poaceae. The record is from RNAcentral.